UGCCUCCUCUUGGUGAACCUCCUCCCCAAGAGCAGAUUCCUGACUCGUGGCGAGCGGCUCCUGCAGUCUUUCUCUCAGUGCCCAGCGCACCACCCAGAGACAACACGCGGCAUGCCUGUCAUCGUCCCUGGGGCGCUGCCGGGGGCGAAUGGGGCGACGAGAGGAGUCAGUAGCAUCAAGGUCCUCCGAAGCUCACUGCUCAGUGUCUGAGAGGCAGCACCCCUCUCUUCCGCAAGUCCUCGCUCUCCACCUCACUCCAUCGCUGGGUGACUUCCCAUGAUACCCCUCGUAAGAUAAACUAAGCCUGGUCUGAUGACCUUGCAGCAGCCCUGGCCCUCCUGCUGGCUCCCCUCCCUCCCCCUCUCUCCAGCUCUAACGCAGCUGGAAAGGGGAAAUCCAAGGAUGUGAGGCACCAAGAGGUGACCUUGGAGCUGGGAAAGCCGCUCCCAUCGCACAGAACACGUCCGACGGAGCUAGUGCCAAGAGGCUGAGAAAGGAAGGCUUUCACGGGGAUCUGUACAGUCAGAAGUCAGGGAAACAAGACCAAGGGCAGGAGCAGAUGAUACAGGUCUCCACCUGGGACGUCGAGGAGACUGGCCCCGUUGUCCUCUGAAGCGGACGGUCACCGAAAUACCUGCAGUGUGUCUCAGGCGCGCACCGCUGCCAGGGCGCCUCAACCCUGCGCAGUCAGAGGCAACCAAGUACAGGGUGGCGGGAGGGAGGCGGCUUCAUCUUAGCCAGCUGUGGGCCUGCACGUCUAGUCCCUCGUUUUCUCCUAAGCAUCAUCAGUAUGAGAUCCGGAAGAGGAGGGGCAGAGAGCGGCUGGAGCUGCUUCUGUGGGACGCCCUGGCAGUGGGAAUGACCAAUGGGACCUCAAAAAGUGUGCGCGUCUGUUUCCACAGGACCUGCAGGGCACAAGGGGCCUGGGUGUGGCCCACAGCCAGAGACCAGGAUAAACCAAGGCUGGCUACAGGCCUUCCUCAGGCUCUUCAUUCACUCCCAGAAGGCCAUGCAGCAUCCUUCUGGGCUCCCCAGACUCAACAAAAGGAAGAUUCCUUUCCUAUCUAGAACCCAAAGCCCCUGCCUGCCUGGAGCCAGGGAUACCUAGAAAGAGCCCGAACCAAAUGCUGUGAGCUCUGCACACGUGUCAACCUCUCCCGCCGUCUUCAUCAGCUUCCUCUCUGCAUUUACGCUGUUCUGGCUCCACAGGCAGCAGCCACCCCAGGCAUCACAUGUCUGGGGGCACUUAAGGUUCUUAUUUUCUCUCAAUAUUGGCGUGUCCUUUAAAUGUCCCCAAUUUUACAAUCCUUUGCCAUCAACAGAUGCUCAGGUUGUGGGGAAGGAAGCAGUCAAGGGCUUCUGGGAUCUGGGCCAAAGCCCUCAUCCAAGGUCAUCACUGGCGGUCAGGUCAGGACCAGGAAGGAAGGGAAGUGAUGCCCAGUGAGAGACGCUGCCUCCUCUUCUAGCUUCUUCGUCAUCGGAGUCACCGUCACCUCAGCAGAGGGAGAGUUUUCUAAACUACUUCAUUCUUUGGCCAUUUCGUACAUGUACAGAAUAAAUUCUGAUCACACGCAUGGGUCCACCCUGACUUGUCUUCCCACACCCCCACCAACCAACCACCCCCUCCCUCCUACCCAGUCCCUAUUACCUGCCAUUAUGUCCUCCCCCCACGGGGGGGGGGGCCGGGGUGGCUGUGUUUGUAAGGCAUAUGCAUUUAGAUUUAGGCUCCAUCCCUAAGACAGCUCUAUGUAUGAGAAUAACUAUGAAAUCUGAACUCCAAGUGCCCUGGUCCUAGGCAUUCUGGAUGAGGGCUGCUGAGUCUCUGCUAUCUUCUAAGACACACGUGCCAUGAAGCCCACUGACUGGGGAACAGGUGUCCCUUCGACCACGCCCUCUGCUCUACAUGCCUCGCUCGGGCUCUGCCAGAUCUAGAGGGCCGAAUCCACCUCCGUCCCAGCACAGUCUGAAAACACGCUGUGCCCAGUCCUUCUCAAGGGCUAACAAGCUCAUGCCACCAGUGUCUGCCAGGUAAGAUCGUUAGAUCAUUCAUACACAUG
Long non-coding RNA from Mesocricetus auratus (golden hamster), 2057 nucleotides. RefSeq lists it as uncharacterized. Lineage: Eukaryota; Metazoa; Chordata; Mammalia; Rodentia; Cricetidae. The record is from RefSeq and is a predicted model, not a curated record. The transcript is spliced from 3 exons.